AAACAUUUUUGCUCUUGCAGUGCACACUUAAAUCAUGGAACUCCUCGCCUGCUGUCGCAGACUGGUGUGGAGCCUAACAGGACAUUUCAACCCAGAUUCUUCCUAGAAGUAUGGAAGUUGGUGCAGCUUCAUAGACUAUCCUGAGCUGGAAUAGACCCACAAGGGUCAUCAAGUCCAACUCCUGGCCCUGCACAGGAGAAGCCCAAGAAUCCCAACAUGUGCCUGAGAACACUGUCCAAGCACUUCUUGAACUCUUGGAGGCUUGCUACCAUAAUCACUUCACUGGGGAGUCUGUUCCAGUGCACAACCACCCUCUGGCUGGAAAAACUUUUCCUAAUAUCCAACUUAGAGACAGAAGCACUGAAAGUACUUGGAGAAGAGCUUUACUGGGUUUACACGGCAAGGUAGAGGCAGAGGAGGGCAGCAGAGGCGGCUUCUGCGAGAAGACAUCAGAAGCUCAUCUCAUGUCAGACAGAUGGUUCUACAGAAUCAAAUCACAGAAUCACAGAAUACCAGGCUGGAAGGGACCUCAAGGGUCAUCUGAUCCAACCUCUUGGCAAAAUCACAAACCAAUUCUUCUUAUUGUUACCUAUUUUACUUUUCAUUAUUUUUAUUUUACUUACAGGCUUUUACAGUAGAAAGUUAAUCCUAAUGGUGAUACCUACUUUGAUUUACAUAAUAUCUUUCUGAGACCAAGAGUACCUUUGUAAACAGACACUAUAACCCACAUCUGGCAUGCAAUCAACUUGCAAAUCAACUAACAUGAGCAGUAGAACAAACUAUAUGACCGAGGCAUUGCAGCACUUUGUAUCCUGCUUUAAAUAUUGAGCUAAAAGAAGACAAGACUUCUUAAGACAUACAGCAUUUCCAUACUGUUUUGCCAGGUCUGAACGAUAUUAAUCAAAACACUAGAGUGCAGUAACAUGUUUAAGCUUUUGUGUCCUGUGAAAUACAAGUUUGCAUAAUUCAGAAGAGGGAAGUGAUUUAAAUUGAUAACUUCUAACUAAUCUGAAAAACUACACUGUAACAUAGCCUGGAGUUUAUAACCUGCUGUGAAAUAUAUCUUUCUAAUGAAAGCUAUUUGCACAUCACAGGGUGCCAAUGGGAGGCUACAUUACAGCCCAACAGUACUUCAAUUCCAUAUUAAUAUGGAAUAAGGUCAAGCUAUUUUUCUUCAGUUUAAAUAUAUACCUCAUUGCUACUGCCUACAAGAUCCUGAGACUUUUUCACCUUUAAUCAUACACUUGAGGAAUCCAUAGCACCACAUAGUCAAAAGACCAUAAGCAUUGAUUUGAUCCAAUGACUGAUGUUCUUACAGAAUACGGAAAGAUAAAACUUAUGAAGACUAUUAUACUAGUCUUGUUUUCCCUACUUUGUGAGCUCUUGAAAACUUAAAAGCCAAUUUAAAAAGGCAUAGAAAAGAGCUACUAAAAUGACCAAGAAACCAGAGAACCUCUUAGAAGAGAGGAUGUGAAUAGCCUGUUCAGUCCAGCAAAAGGAUGUGAUUAUUCACCAAGCAAAUCCAAGUAAACAACAAUGUUGAGUGAAAAGAAAAUUAGCAUAAACAUGUUUGAAUUUCCAGAUGAAAUUUAUUUUUAAUGAGUUAUUCAAUUCUCAGAGUAACAAGGUUCUAGAACAGUUUUCUAGCAGAAACAGAAAGGAAAAAAAUUGUUUUUAAAAUGGAACUUGACAAGUAGGGAUUACAUUGUGUAAUACUAGCAGGAGACUGGAUUUAAUAAAGUAAAUCCAUGGUACCAAAUUUCUCUGUAUUCCAGAUUUACUUAUAAUUACAGUUUUGAGAAUACAGGAAAAAUAGAAAGGCAAAGAUACAGCACUGUCUUACUUAUUCAGUAGGAAGAAGGAUUGUAUUGUCCUCUGUUUUGUUGGGUUUUUUUUUGCCUUUUUUUUUUUCAGAGGAUGAAUACGAAGUUAUUUACUAUUACAGGAAACUGCAAAUUGCUGUAGCACUUCUGCCCACAAAAACCCAAGAGAUCUGGACAAGUUCAGUGACCACAGCAUCAUAUUUUCCAUUGUAGUAAAGACAAUAUUCCUGAAGCAGCUGGUCUCUUAUUAAUAGAAUUCAUUUAUCUUAUUCAUAGCAAAUGAAGCACACA
Passer domesticus (house sparrow) is the source of this 2114-nucleotide long non-coding RNA. RefSeq lists it as uncharacterized. The transcript has 3 exons. The record is from RefSeq and is a predicted model, not a curated record. Lineage: Eukaryota; Metazoa; Chordata; Aves; Passeriformes; Passeridae.